Molecule: long non-coding RNA, 587 nt
Filed under: Equus caballus (horse)
Lineage: Eukaryota; Metazoa; Chordata; Mammalia; Perissodactyla; Equidae
Description: lncRNA (ENSECAG00000041092.2)
Source: RNAcentral
GUACCCAGCACUCCCUGGAGGAGUGAGGUCCGGAGCGGGGGCAAUACUGCUAUAACCAUCCUUUGGACUCAGCCCAACUGAGAGGGGGGUCUUACUGUCUGGCUUUGCUGGCUAUUAACUGCAGCGAGGACACCCCAGAAAAGCUAUAAGCAGAAAAGAUCCGGGUCUUAAAGGGCCCACCCACAAACUCACUCAUUGCUGCAAACUAAAAUCACCAGAGAGAAGGCUGACUGUCCUUUGGUGAAACGAGACUCACCUGGUGGGCUCUGGGGGCAUCUUGGUGAGAGGAGGGUCGUCUCCGGAGACUGAGACAUUGGUGGGGGCCGUUGUUCUGAGCUGGUCCAGGCGUGCUGAUACGGACACUGCUACUCCUCUGCUCAGGAUUAUGACCACUGAAAUACUUUAUCUUCUCUUCCUCCGGCUUUAUGGUUGAGAGAUUUUAUACUGCUUAUCAGCGUUGGUUCAGGUUCAUAUGACCAGCCACAUUAAGGAAAAGAACAAACUGAAACCGGAAGAGAGGCGUUAGAAGUGUUGGAAAAUCACAAGAGUCGCUCUGCCCUUUUCGCAGACAGAUAAAAAAUUUUUUG